Molecule: ribosomal RNA, 497 nt
Filed under: uncultured bacterium
Lineage: Bacteria
Description: partial 16S ribosomal RNA
Rfam family: Bacterial small subunit ribosomal RNA
Source: RNAcentral
GAUGAACGCUGGCGGCGUGCCUAAUACAUGCAAGUCGAGCGAACAGACGAGGAGCUUGCUCCUCUGACGUUUGCGGCGGACGGGUGUGUAACACGUGUAUAACCUACCUAUAAGACUGGGAUAACUUCGGGAAACCGGAGCUAAUCCCGGAUAAUCUAUUGAACCGCAUGGUUCAAUAGUGAAAUACGGUUUUGCUGUCUGUUAUCGAUGGAUCCGCGCCGCAUUAGCUAGUUGGUAAGGUAACGGCUUACCAAGGCAACGAUGCGUAGCCGACCUGAGAGGGUGAUCGGCCACACUGGAACUGAGACACGGUCCAGACUCCUACGGGAGGCAGCAGUAGGGAAUCUUCCGCAAUGGGCGAAAGCUUGACGGAGCAACGCCGCGUGAGUGAUGAAGGUCUUCGGAUCGUAAAACUCUGUUAUUAGGGAAGAACAAAUGUGUAAGUAACUAUGCUCGUCUUGACGGUACCUAAUCAGAAAGCCACGGCUAACUACGUG